GUACACUCCUACGGGAGGCAGCAGUGGGGAAUAUUGGACAAUGGGCGCAAGCCUGAUCCAGCCAUGCCGCGUGAGUGAUGAAGGCCCUAGGGUUGUAAAGCUCUUUCACCGGUGAAGAUAAUGACGGUAACCGGAGAAGAAGCCCCGGCUAACUUCGUGCCAGCAGCCGCGGUAAUACGAAGGGGGCUAGCGUUGUUCGGAUUUACUGGGCGUAAAGCGCACGUAGGCGGACUAUUAAGUCAGGGGUGAAAUCCCGGGGCUCAACCCCGGAACUGCCUUUGAUACUGGUAGUCUUGAGUUCGAGAGAGGUGAGUGGAAUUCCGAGUGUAGAGGUGAAAUUCGUAGAUAUUCGGAGGAACACCAGUGGCGAAGGCGGCUCACUGGCUCGAUACUGACGCUGAGGUGCGAAAGCGUGGGGAGCAAACAGGAUUAGAUACCCCGGUAGUCC
RNAcentral lists this ribosomal RNA (448 nucleotides) under uncultured organism. Its description in RNAcentral is "partial 16S ribosomal RNA". It matches the Rfam family "Bacterial small subunit ribosomal RNA", at positions 331 to 796 of the family's 1533-position model. The record is from RNAcentral.